UUUAUUACACCAAGAAGCGCUCUCCCUUUUUUCCCCUUUAGAUUAAGGGUCUAAAGUCCUGGAUCCCCCUGUCUGAUCUAUAGUGCUGAUCAUCCACAACGCUGAUCAUCAGCUCCUCCGCUGUUCUGCACAGCCAAACAAUGACCUGUGAAUUGCAUCUGAACCGCAAACCUUCCGUCAUCCAUUCUGGGCUGAAACCCUUGAGAGAAGGUCAGGAGCGGCCGGUGCUGAGUGUGUAUUAUGUCUUAUCUCUGCUGAAACAGGUUCAUACUGCGAGAUAAUGACACGAAUAAAACGACACAAGGUUAACAGGAGAAGGAGCUUCAAAAACAGACAACGACGUCAUAGACGAUGACCCCACAGCACAAAAUCCACGCAGAUGCUGAUCUGGGAAACGCAGUUCACCGGCAACGAUAAACUGAGGGAAAUGAGGAGAAUUCGGUGACCAUCUUGCCUGAGCUGUUUUUACAGCAUUUAGUGAUAUGCUUUACCGAAGGACCCAUGGACAUAGACACAAUCUCUACACCUUAUGCUUUGUACUGAGAAGGAUUGUAAGCAAGCUCUGUGACCUGUGCAGGGAGUCGUCCUAGGUUUCGCCUACCAACAUCCAGCAACUGGAAAACGGAUCUGUUCUUUCUCUUAAGAGAGCAGUAAUUGUUAAAUGUCAGGAAAUUACCAAGUCAUGGGGCAAUGUCUUCUAAUGGAGCAUGUAACCAAUUUAACUCAACCUGCCUG
Hyla sarda is the source of this 735-nucleotide long non-coding RNA. RefSeq lists it as uncharacterized. The record is from RefSeq and is a predicted model, not a curated record. Lineage: Eukaryota; Metazoa; Chordata; Amphibia; Anura; Hylidae. The transcript is spliced from 3 exons.